This 824-nucleotide ribosomal RNA is filed under the name uncultured Bacteroidota bacterium. RNAcentral describes it as "bacterial SSU rRNA". It matches the Rfam family "Bacterial small subunit ribosomal RNA", at positions 75 to 902 of the family's 1533-position model. Lineage: Bacteria; Pseudomonadati; Bacteroidota. The record is from RNAcentral.
UGUAGCAAUACAGGUGGCGCACGGCGCACGGGUGCGUAACACGUGGGUAAUCUGCCCUUCGAUGGGGAAUAACUCCGGGAAACCGAAGCUAAUUCCGCAUAACAUUCCUUGAACCUCGGUUUGGGGACUCAAAGCCGUAAGGCGUCGGAGGAGGAACCCGCGCACGAUUAGCUAGUUGGUAGGGUAACGGCCUACCAAGGCUUUGAUCGUUAGCUGGUCUGAGAGGAUGGCCAGCCACACUGGAACUGAGACACGGUCCAGACUCCUACGGGAGGCAGCAGUGGGGAAUCUUGCACAAUGGGCGAAAGCCUGAUGCAGCGACGCCGCGUGGGGGAUGAAGCUUUUCGGAGUGUAAACCCCUUUCGACCCGGACGAAUGCCCCGCAAGGGGACUGACGGUACGGGUAUAAGAAGCCCCGGCUAACUACGUGCCAGCAGCCGCGGUAAGACGUGGGGGGCCAGCGUUGCUCGGAAUUACUGGGUGUAAAGGGUUCGUAGGCGGUGUAGCAAGUCGGGAGUGAAAUCUCUGGGCUCAACCCAGAGACUGCUUCCGAAACUGCUGUGCUUGAGUGUGGGAGAGGCGCGUGGAAUUGCAGGUGUAGCGGUGAAAUGCGUAGAUAUCUGCAGGAACACCCGUGGCGAAAGCGGCGCGCUGGACCACUACUGACGCUGAGGAACGAAAGCUAGGGGAGCAAACAGGAUUAGAUACCCUGGUAGUCCUAGCCCUAAACGAUCAGGACUUGGGGUGCCGCACGUUCGUGCGUCGUCCCGGAGCUAACGCGUUAAGUCCUGCACCUGGGGAGUACGGUCGCAAGACUGAAACUC